GCCAAAAUUAAAGCCCACUUACACAUUACAAAACCGCCCAACCCCUAUACCAAAUCAUUUGCCAAAGUUAGUAAAUGCGAUUAAACUCACACUCAGGCGCAAACUAGUACCGUAAGGGAACAAUGAAAGAACAAUGAAAACAUUAAGCACAAAACAGCAAAGAUAAACCCCUGUACCUCUUGCAUCAUGGUUUAGCAAACAACAUCAGACAAAGAGAACUUAAGUCUGCCCCCCCGAAACUAAACGAGCUAUUUCUGAGCAGCCUAAUAUUAGGGCACACCCGUCCCUGUAGCAAAAGGGUGGGAAGACUUAAAAAUAGAGGUAAAAAGCCAACCGAGUUUAGUGAUAGCUGGUUACUCAACAAAAGAAUUUUAGUUCAACUUUGGGACCAACAAAACAAAACUGAAGUCUACCUUUUAACCCAAAGACAUUCAACGGGGGUACAGCCCCAUUGAACCGGGAUACAGCCCGAACUGAGAGAACAAACCACCAACAAUAACAAGUAGGCUUCUAAGCAGCCACCAACACCCAACCGCGUUACAGCACACCAAAACAAAUCCCACCAAUAAAUUUAUUCUCCAAAACCACAAAGAGUUACCCUAUAAUUAUAUAGAGACAUUUAUGCUAAAACUAGUAAUAAGAGGACCCCCUCUCUUACCGCACCCCUUUAAGUCAGAAAGGAAUACACCACUGAUAGUUACCAGAUCUUAUACAACCAUCGACUUAAACACCAAUGUUACAAACACUGUUAACCCGACACAGGAGUGCAAUAAAAGAAAGACAAAAAGCUGCAAAAGGAACUCGGCAAUAAAAGUCCCAACUGUUUACCAAAAACAUAGCCUUUAGCCCCACAAGUAUUAAAGGUCUUGCCUGCCCAGUGAUAUUUUUAAACGGCCGCGGUAUCCUAACCGUGCAAAGGUAGCAUAAUCACUUGUCCCCUAAAUAGGGACUAGUAUGAACGGCUAAAUGAGGACUUUACUGUCUCUUGCCGCCAGUCAAUGAAACUGAUCUUCCAGUUCAAAAGCUGGAAUAACACCAUAAGACAAAAAGACCCUGUGGAGCUUUUAAACCAAAACCACCAAAAAUUGUCCACUUGGUUUUUAGUUGGGGCGACUUCGGGGUAAAACCAAACCCCCGAAACAAUGGAACCUACCAUAUUAAGGCCAACACGCCAAAAUAAUUUAAAACUUGACCCAGAUCUUUUAAUAUCUGACCAAUGAACCAAGUUACCCCAGGGAUAACAGCGCCAUCUUCUUUUAGAGUCCAUAUCGACAAGAGGGUUUACGACCUCGAUGUUGGAUCAGGACACCCCAAUAGUGCAGCCGCUAUUAACGGUUCGUUUGUUCAACGAUUAACAGUCCUACGUGAUCUGAGUUCAGACCGGAGUAAUCCAGGUCGGUUUUUAUCUAUGCACGCGCCAUCUUCAGUACGAAAGGAUCAAGAUGGCAGGACCAAUACCAUAAAGCAUGUCCUUAAAUAUCAACCACUGAAUAUAUCUAAAGUGGCUACCACACGGCCCCUCCACCCCAAUAACAGGGAUU
RNAcentral lists this ribosomal RNA (1541 nucleotides) under Gallotia atlantica (Atlantic lizard). RNAcentral's name for it is "partial large subunit ribosomal RNA". It matches the Rfam family "Bacterial large subunit ribosomal RNA", at positions 410 to 2830 of the family's 2925-position model. The record is from RNAcentral. Lineage: Eukaryota; Metazoa; Chordata; Lepidosauria; Squamata; Lacertidae.